RNAcentral lists this ribosomal RNA (460 nucleotides) under uncultured bacterium. RNAcentral's name for it is "partial 16S ribosomal RNA". It matches the Rfam family "Bacterial small subunit ribosomal RNA", at positions 338 to 795 of the family's 1533-position model. The record is from RNAcentral.
CCUACGGGAGGCUGCAGUGAGGAAUAUUGGUCAAUGGACGAGAGUCUGAACCAGCCAAGUAGCGUGAAGUCUUCCUUCCCUAUGGUUUGUCAACUUCUUUUAUAAAGGAAUAAAACGAGGCACGUGUGCCUUUUUGCAUGUACUUUAUGAAUAAGGAUCGGCUAACUCCGUGCCAGCAGCCGCGGUAAUACGGAGGAUCCGAGCGUUAUCCGGAUUUAUUGGGUUUAAAGGGAGCGUAGAUGGGUUGUUAAGUCAGUUGUUAAAGUUUGCGGCUCAACCGUAAAAUUGCAAUUGAUACUGGCAGUCGUGAGUACAGUUGAGGUAGGCGGAAUUCGUGGUGUAGCGGUGAAAUGCUUAGAUAGCACGAAGAACCCCGAUUGCGAAGGCAGCUUACUAAACUGUGACUGACAUUGAUGCUCGAAAGUGUGGGUAUCAAACAGGAUUAGAUACCCUAGUAGUC